AUGAUUUGCUUAAGCUGGAACUGCUGGGGGCUUGGGAACCCCGAGGCAGUUCGCGAGCUUCGCAAUGUGGUGAAGCAAGAAGGUCCCGCCCUUGUCUUUGUGAUGGAAACGAAGAUUAGGGCUGUCAGGGUUGAGAACCUGAAGUUUUCUUUGGGUUUCUCUGGUUGUUUUGCAGUGGACAGUGUCGGGCUGAGUGGAGGCCUUGGAUUAUUUUGGUCUAAGGACGUGUCCGUUGAGCUUAAGAAUUACAGUGCCGGCCACAUAGAUUGUGUGGUGCGGAGAGUUGAUACUCCAUCUGAAGUAUGGCGCUUCACAGGGUUCUAUGGCGCGCCAAGAGUGGAGGAUCGUCACCAUAGUUGGCGUUUUCUUCGAACGCUAUACUCACUUGCACACGAUGCAUGGAUUUGUAUGGGUGACUUCAACGAGACGUUGUACGCGGAUGAACACUUCAGUCGUUCGGCUCGCCCUGAAUGGCAGAUGAGAGCGUUUCGAGAAGUAACAGACGAGUGUGACCUUCAAGACCUGGGCUGGACGGGUGUGCCUUUCACGUGGGACAAUCGGCAGCAGGGAGGGUCAAAUGUUAAGGCCCGGAUUGAUCGUGCUUUCGCGAACGAGUAG
This 618-nucleotide ribosomal RNA is filed under the name Triticum aestivum (bread wheat). RNAcentral describes it as "partial small subunit ribosomal RNA". The record is from RNAcentral. Lineage: Eukaryota; Viridiplantae; Streptophyta; Magnoliopsida; Poales; Poaceae.